AGAACGAACGCUGGCGGCAGGCUUAACACAUGCAAGUCGAGCGCCCAGCAAUGGGAGCGGCGGACGGGUGCGUAACACGUGGGAACAUGCCUUUCGGUACGGAACAACUGCGGGAAACUGCAGCUAAUGCCGUAUACGCCCUUACGGGGAAAGAUUUAUCGCCGAAAGAUUGGCCCGCGUCUGAUUAGCUAGUUGGUGAGGUAACGGCUCACCAAGGCUUCGAUCAGUAGCUGGUUUGAGAGAACGACCAGCCACACUGGGACUGAGACACGGCCCAGACUCCUACGGGAGGCAGCAGUGGGGAAUCUUGAACAAUGGGCGAAAGCCUGAUCCAGCCAUGCCGCGUGAGUGAUGAAGGCCUUCGGGUUGUAAAACUCUUUUACCUGGGAAGAUAAUGACUGUACCAGGAGAAUAAGCCCCGGCUAACUUCGUGCCAGCAGCCGC
RNAcentral lists this ribosomal RNA (444 nucleotides) under uncultured bacterium. RNAcentral describes it as "SSU rRNA". It matches the Rfam family "Bacterial small subunit ribosomal RNA", at positions 26 to 518 of the family's 1533-position model. The record is from RNAcentral.